RNAcentral lists this ribosomal RNA (497 nucleotides) under uncultured bacterium. Its description in RNAcentral is "partial 16S ribosomal RNA". It matches the Rfam family "Bacterial small subunit ribosomal RNA", at positions 28 to 507 of the family's 1533-position model. The record is from RNAcentral.
GAUGAACGCUGGCGGCGUGCCUAAUACGUGCAAGUCGAGCGAACAGAUGAGGAGCUUGCUCCUCUGACGUUAGCGGCGGACGGGUGAGUAACACGUGGAUAACCUACCUAUAAGACUGGGAUAACUUCGGGAAACCGGAGCUAAUACCGGAUAAUAUAUUGAACCGCAUGGUUCAAUAGUGAAAGACGGUUUUGCUGUCACUUAUAGAUGGAUCCGCGCCGCAUUAGCUAGUUGGUAAGGUAACGGCUUACCAAGGCGACGAUGCGUAGCCGACCUGAGAGGGUGAUCGGCCACACUGGAACUGAGACACGGUCCAGACUCCUACGGGAGGCAGCAGUAGGGAAUCUUCCGCAAUGGGCGAAAGCCUGACGGAGCAACGCCGCGUGAGUGAUGAAGGUCUUCGGAUCGUAAAACUCUGUUAUUAGGGAAGAACAAAUGUGUAAGUAACUAUGCACGUCUUGACGGUACCUAAUCAGAAAGCCACGGCUAACUACGUG